Molecule: unclassified non-coding RNA, 159 nt
Filed under: uncultured Eurotiomycetes
Lineage: Eukaryota; Fungi; Ascomycota; Eurotiomycetes
Description: sequence contains ITS2
Source: RNAcentral
CUCCCUCAAGCCUGGCUUGGUCUUGGGCCGCGCCCUCCCCGCGGGGUGGGCGGGCCUCAAACUCCUGGGCGGUGUCGUCCCUCCACUGGCGUGACCGGGAGAUCUCUCCACACACCAGCGGGGGCGACGCUCGCCGUGACGCGGCCGCGAGGCCCUACG